GACGAACGCUGGCGGCGUGCUUAACACAUGCAAGUCGAACGGAAAGGCCCUGCUCUUGUGGGGUGCUCGAGUGGCGAACGGGUGAGUAACACGUGUGUAACCUGUCCUUGACUUUGGGAUAACUUCAGGAAACUGGGGCUAUUAUCGGAUAUGAGCUCCUGCUGCAUGUUGGGGGUUGGUAAGAUUCGGCGGUAGGGGAUGGACUCGCGGCUUAUCAGCUUGUUGGUGGGGUAGUGGCUUACCAAGGCUUUGACGGGUAGCCGGCCUGAGAGGGUGACCGGCCACAUUAGGACUAAGGUACGGCCCAGACGCCAACGGGAGGCAGCGGUGGAGAAUAUUGCGAAAUGGGCGGCAGCCUGAUACAACAACGCCGGGUGCGGAAUGACGGCCUUCGGGGUAUAAACCGCUUUCGCCUGUGACGAAGCGUGAGUGACGGUAAUGGGUAAAGAAGCAACGGCUAACUACGUG
RNAcentral lists this ribosomal RNA (468 nucleotides) under uncultured bacterium. Its description in RNAcentral is "partial 16S ribosomal RNA". It matches the Rfam family "Bacterial small subunit ribosomal RNA", at positions 28 to 507 of the family's 1533-position model. The record is from RNAcentral.